Molecule: ribosomal RNA, 1524 nt
Filed under: uncultured Sphingobacteriales bacterium
Lineage: Bacteria; Pseudomonadati; Bacteroidota; Sphingobacteriia; Sphingobacteriales
Description: bacterial SSU rRNA
Rfam family: Bacterial small subunit ribosomal RNA
Source: RNAcentral
AGAGUUCGAUUAUGGCUCAGGAUUAACGCUAGCGGCAGGCCUAAUACAUGCAAGUCGAGGGGCAUCAAGUCCGUUUACGGACGUUGGCGACCGGCGCACGGGUGCGUAACGCGUAUGCAAUCUGCCUUGUACUGGAGCAUAGCCCUCGGAAACGAAGAUUAAUACUCCACACAGUCUUACUAGCGCAUGCUAGUAAAAUGAAAGCUCCGGCGGUACAAGAUGAGCAUGCAUCCCAUUAGCUUGUUGGUGAGAUAACAGCUCACCAAGGCUACGAUGGGUAGGGGUUCUGAAGAGGAAAGAUCCCCCACAACUUGGCACUUGAGAAUACGGGCCAGACUCCUACGGGAGGCAGCAGUAGGGAUAUAUUGGUCAAUGGGCGCAAGCCUGAUACCAGCCAUUGCCGCGUGCAGAAUGAAGGCCUUCAGGGUUGUAAACUGCUUUUGUUAUGGGAAUGAAAAAGUCCUUGCGAGGACUCCUUGAAGGUACCAUAAGAAUUAAGCACCGGCUAACUCCGUGCCAGCAGCCGCGGUAAUACGGAGGGUGCAAGCGUUAUCCGGGAUUUACUGGGUUUAAAGAGUGCGUAGGCGGCUUUCUUAAGUCAGUGGUGAAAGCUUAGCGCUUAACGCUAGAAGUGCCACUGAUACUGGGAAGCUUGAGUCAAGAAGAGGUAAGCAGAAUUCAUAGUGUAGCAGUGAAAUGCUUAGAUACUAUGAGGAAUACCAACAGCGAAGGCAGCUUACUGGUCUUGUACUGACGUUGAGGUACGAAAGCGUGGGUAGCGAACAGGAUUAGAUGCCCUGGUAGUCCACGCCGUAAACGAUGAUCACUCGAUGUACACGCUAGUCGUGUGUGUCUAAGCAAAAGCAUUAAGUGAUCCACCUGGGGGAGUACGCUCGCAAGAGUGAAACUCAAAGGGAAUUGACGGGAGUCCGCACAAGCCGGUGGGAGCAUGUGGUUUAAUUCGAUAAUACGGCGAGGAAACCUUACCUGGGCUUCGAAUGUCUCUGCUACCUCGAGAAAUCGAGGGUUUCCUUUCGGGAAAGAGUACAAGGUGCUGCAUGGCUGUCGUCAGCUCGUGUUCGUGAGAUGUUUGGGGUUAAGGUCCUAUAACGAGCGCCAACCCCUUUACUUAGUUGCCUGCACAUUCAUGGUGGGAACUCCUAAGUAGACUGACUGCGUAAGGUAGGAGGAAGGAGGGGACGAGGUCAAGGUUCAUCUCACUAGGACCCCUAACGUCCAGGGCUACACACGAUGCUACAAUGGCGUGUACAGAAGGACGCUACUUGGUAACAAGCGGCAAAUCCUCAAAGCACGUCUCAGUUCGGAUUGAGGUCUGCAACUCGACCUCAUGAAGCUGGAAUCGCUAGUAAUCGCGCAUCAGCAAUGGCGCGGUGAAUACGUUCCCGGACUUUGUACACACCGCCCGUCAAGCCAUGGGAGUUGGUAGGACCUAAAGACAGUGGCCAAUUAAGGAGCUGUUAAGGGUUAGAUCAGCGACUGGGGCUAAGUCGUAACAAGGUAACC